UCCCCACCACAGACUCGCUGUCGCAAGUCCACCCACCCACCGCCCUCCCUGCCUCCCCUCUCGCUCGCCAGCCUCCAGCAGUAGCCUCGGGGUCUCAGGGAUGCCAGCUUCCAGGCGGCGCCCAGCCCCACUCCGGCCGCCUCUACCGACAGCUCCGGCACACGGUGCGCUGCAGCUGGAAGGGAAGAUGACGGAUGGCGGGGUCGGCACAGAACUGCACAUCCCCAACUCCUCCUACUGAGUACUGACUCACCCCCGCCCCCAAGUUUUGCACUCCUGGUCGACCACCACCAUUAACGAGACAUGGUACUGAUCAGCUAGGCGCUCGUUUGUUUGUAUGUACACUGUCGGUGUCUAUCAGACUUUGAUUGAGAUUCAUCUUUCUGCACUACAACAAUGUUAUCACAGACAUCUUAAUUAGUUUAUGUGAUCCCCGGCACAGGGGGAGCUCUCGGUAGGGCGAGGACGGGCGCCCGCCCUACCUUGAUUUGCCGGGGAAGAAAAUUACGUAGGUACUCGCUCUGAUUCGUCGAUAGUUCCUGAAAAAAUCGUUGUCUUGUUGGAUCCUGAGUCAGUGAGCAGCGAUUCUGUCAUCUCCAAUGUUCCAGCCGUCCAACAUAGCAGGAAGCCAGCCGGAGCUUACCUAGCAGCACGGAGCGGCGCGCGGAGCCGGCGGACGGCUGCGGUCUGUGUGCGGGCCGGUGGACAGCGAGAGCAGCGAGGGCGGCGGUCAGCGUCCACACCCUGCCUGCAGCCCCCUCAUCGACUCUGUUCUUUUUCCAUCCAUGUUCUGUUUUCUCUUUUUCUAGUCGUGUGUGCACUAGUGGCUGGAGAUUCAUAACAUAUUGACGAAUUUUUCUAAUUAAAAACAGUGAGAAUGUGUGAUAUGUGAUAGUAAUUACUCAGUGCUUUACAUUCAUUUUUGUAUGUGCUUUAUGCUCUGUGAUAGAAAAUUUUCUUAAUAUUGAUGACAAAUUGACAAUUGCUGAUUAAAAACAGUGAGUGUGGGUGGUGCAGCGGCGUUGCCAACUUUGUGGGCGAAGGGAAAACAUGGAUAUGAAGGGGAAGGCCUAGCAAAGGCAAAGGGGAGAGUUCGCCCCACCUCAGAAAAAAUUCGUCCUCCGCCACUGAUCCUCAGGGAAAAAAUGUCCGCCCCGGUGAACUGCCACCCUCUCUGUCUCUGAGAACCCUUCGUCUUGCAACCAAAAUUCAUCCAUGCGUCGUCUGCCAUGUGAAGCUUGUUGCCAUCAGGUAGACUGACCUCGUGCCCGCCACUAUCGACCAGCGGGAAGCUAGCGAGUGAUUUGGAGAACAUAAGUGACUUGCGCGAGCGCACAAGGCAGCCAAUUCAUCUAUAGAAACUUUUCUGAUGUUGUCUGAUAAAGAGCACCGUGGAUGGAUAUAUUAUCAUUUUUGGUAAAAUCUAAUCAUAUGUGAUUAUGUGAAACAUCUGGAUUAGAUGCGUUGCACUAUGUCUGAAGCAGCAAAAUGGCAUCAUGCUCGCUUUUGUGUUCGACUGAAGAGUAUUAAUGUGAACUAGCAUGAGAAUUCAGUUUUUUAUGGUAAAUGUCGUCUUAUAGUCUUAUGUGGAGAUAGUAUUAAGGCUUGGACAUUAUUAGUGUCGCAACCAUGAAAGGUCAGUCCCCGUAUGUUAACCUGAUGUUAUUUCUUUACAUAUUUUUUGUAAGGUAUAUCCAUCAACAACAACAUGAUGUUUCUUCCUUUUACAGUAUACGUAUCUAUACUUCGUAUGGUAACAUGACAUCAACCAGACUAGACUAAACUUCUGGAGGGCAUGUUUACUCGGUGUGAAAACUUGUACGUGCGAAUUCUAAAGGUAGCCACCACAAGGAUAAACUACAGAAGUAGAGAAAGCAAGGAGCUAUUAUUCCACUAUCAGCAUGUACAAACUAGAAAUCAUAUACUCCCUCUGUUCCUAAAUAUAAGUCCUUUUAGAGAUUUCGAUGUGAACUAUACACGGAGCAAAAUCAGUGAAUCUAUGCUCUAAAGUACAUCUAUAUACAUUAGUAUGUAGUCCCAAUUAAAAUCUGUAAAAAAGACUUAUCUUCAGAAACGGAGGGAGUAGAUAUAUUUCAGCUAGUUUGUGAAAUACGUUAUUUUUUUAUUGAUGAUGUGUACAAUUGAGUUUGUAAAAUACUACUGCUCUAAUUAAUACAAUGCUAUUAUUUUGCGCGAUACCA
Molecule: long non-coding RNA, 2201 nt
Organism: Triticum dicoccoides
Lineage: Eukaryota; Viridiplantae; Streptophyta; Magnoliopsida; Poales; Poaceae
Exons: 4
Source: RefSeq, a predicted model, not a curated record